AUGAAGGGAGCUUGCUCCCGGAUUCAGCGGCGGACGGGUGAGUAAUGCCUAGGAAUCUGCCUGGUAGUGGGGGAUAACGUCCGGAAACGGGCGCUAAUACCGCAUACGUCCUGAGGGAGAAAGUGGGGGAUCUUCGGACCUCACGCUAUCAGAUGAGCCUAGGUCGGAUUACCUAGUUGGUGGGGUAAAGGCCUACCAAGGCGACGAUCCGUAACUGGUCUGAGAGGAUGAUCAGUCACACUGGAACUGAGACACGGUCCAGACUCCUACGGGAGGCAGCAGUGGGGAAUAUUGGACAAUGGGCGAAAGCCUGAUCCAGCCAUGCCGCGUGUGUGAAGAAGGUCUUCGGAUUGUAAAGCACUUUAAGUUGGGAGGAAGGGCAGUAAGUUAAUACCUUGCUGUUUUGACGUUACCAACAGAAUAAGCACCGGCUAACUUCGUGCCAGCAGCCGCGGUAAUACGAAGGGUGCAAGCGUUAAUCGGAAUUACUGGGCGUAAAGCGCGCGUAGGUGGUUCAGCAAGUUGGAUGUGAAAUCCCCGGGCUCAACCUGGGAACUGCAUCCAAAACUACUGAGCUAGAGUACGGUAGAGGGUGGUGGAAUUUCCUGUGUAGCGGUGAAAUGCGUAGAUAUAGGAAGGAACACCAGUGGCGAAGGCGACCACCUGGACUGAUACUGACACUGAGGUGCGAAAGCGUGGGGAGCAAACAGGAUUAGAUAC
This 720-nucleotide ribosomal RNA is filed under the name Pseudomonas aeruginosa. RNAcentral describes it as "bacterial SSU rRNA". It matches the Rfam family "Bacterial small subunit ribosomal RNA", at positions 69 to 785 of the family's 1533-position model. Lineage: Bacteria; Pseudomonadati; Pseudomonadota; Gammaproteobacteria; Pseudomonadales; Pseudomonadaceae. The record is from RNAcentral.